AACGUAGGAGACGAACGUUAUCCGGAGUUACUGGGCGUAAAGGGCGUGUAGGCGGUAUGCUAAGUCUGGCGUGAAAGCUCUCGGCUAAACCGGGAGAGGUCGUUGGAUACUGGCAAACUAGAGGAUGGUAGAGGCGUGUGGAAUUCCGGGUGUAGUGGUGAAAUGCGUAGAGAUCCGGAGGAACACCAGUGGCGAAGGCGACACGCUGGGCCAUACCUGACGCUGAGACGCGAAAGCGUGGGGAGCGAACCGG
Molecule: ribosomal RNA, 253 nt
Filed under: uncultured bacterium
Lineage: Bacteria
Description: partial 16S ribosomal RNA
Rfam family: Bacterial small subunit ribosomal RNA
Source: RNAcentral